CCUCGUGGGUGUUUUGAAGGCAGACCGUGGUCCUCCCGUGCAGCUCACGCAGCUGACCAGCAGGCUUCAAGUCGAAACGCCAUCCUACACAUCCAUCAGCAAACCAGCGACACAUUGAGGCCCAAUAAGUCCAUCUGGUUUUGGUUUGGCUCUUGGAGAUCGCCCCUGGGGAUGUGGAUGGAGGGCAAGGCGGGGCAGGUCGAGGCGAGGCGGUGGAGGAACAUUCAGACGAGAUCAACGGUAUAUCAACGGGAAGUGUCAGCCAAAGCAAGAUGAAGAAAUGCGCACCAGCCAACAUAUUGAUAUGUGCCACCGCACAGCUCGCACAGUUGCUAUCGCUGCAGUGAGAUCAGUCGGAGAAGCUCCUGGUAAAAAAUCAACGCAGGAGUGAGAGAAGACAAGUGGAGAAGGAAGCAGGACAAUGGCAGUCUGUUCUCAUCUACGGUGAUGCCACACAAUGCAUCAUCAUCAUCAUCAUCAUAAGCAGCAGCAGCCGCAACGUCAUCACUUCGAGGUCAAGUAUUUCACCCCUCGACGGUUAAGAUCCCUUCAGUGUCUCCUGUUCUACAAGCGCGUGCUCAAGACCGUAAAUGAGCCUUUGGUUUUUUUAUAUCGCAUGAUCGAGUAGCCGUCUGGGUAUCAAGGAAGACGAGUCCAUCGUGAUAGUGAAGCGCAUGAGCGGGGCUGUACCUUUUCUUUCUGGGACUUGGCCUUGAUGACUUUGGCUGCCAACGUCAGACCAGAUGAGUUUUCAACACACUUGUGCACUUGACCAAAACGACCCCUUUGGAGAAAGACAAAAUAGGGAGACAAAUUACACUGGAAAUCGAAGAGCAAAACGCCAUUUUGUUCUCACUGAGCAACUACUUGGCGAUGGCUUUGAUCGCGUGUUAAUGAAAAAGAAUUGAUGAUCUCGGCGCAAACAAACAAGCCUAAUCUGUUAUUUCAUUACAGCGGAGCUCGCCGGUGCCUCCGCUUUGAAGAUGUGGAUUCACACUUAGUGAUUAGCAAGCAGCUGGCACCAGAGAUACAGUUUCACAUACCGCUCAGUCCGGCAAUAAAAAUAGACGGCAAGACUCUAGAGUUAUGAAGCGGAAAAGGUGAGGAGGGGGACUGGGCAGGGGGGCAGAUUAUACAAGGCUUCAUCGUGGGAAGGGAAAGUAUGAACCCUUUCACCGAAACAUAAACAUGCCAUCAUCAUUCUUUUUGUUUGAAAUUCAUACUGGAUUUUGAAGAGCAUCUCUCACCCGCCCAAGACCUCCUGCCAAUUGAUGGUGUAGAAGUUGCUGAUCUGGUUGGGUUUGGCCGACACGAUGCGGUGAUUAAACGGCGCUGCCGGGGGAGGAGUGCUAUC
This is a long non-coding RNA of Hippocampus zosterae (dwarf seahorse), 1354 nucleotides long. RefSeq lists it as uncharacterized. The transcript is spliced from 4 exons. The record is from RefSeq and is a predicted model, not a curated record. Lineage: Eukaryota; Metazoa; Chordata; Actinopteri; Syngnathiformes; Syngnathidae.